Molecule: ribosomal RNA, 429 nt
Filed under: Bacillota bacterium
Lineage: Bacteria; Bacillati; Bacillota
Description: Firmicutes bacterium partial 16S ribosomal RNA
Rfam family: Bacterial small subunit ribosomal RNA
Source: RNAcentral
UAGGGAAUCUUCGGCAAUGGACGGAAGUCUGACCGAGCAACGCCGCGUGAGUGUAGAAGGUUUUCGGAUCGUAAAGCUCUGUUGUUAGAGAAGAACGUUGGUAGGAGUGGACAAUCUACCAAGUGACGGUAACUAACCAGAAAGGGACGGCUAACUACGUGCCAGCAGCCGCGGUAAUACGUAGGUCCCGAGCGUUGUCCGGAUUUAUUUGGCGUAAAGCGAGCGCAGGCGGUUCUUUAAGUCUGAAGUUAAAGGCAGUGGCUUAACCAUUGUACGCUUUGGAAACUGGAGGACUUGAGUGCAGAAGGGGAGAGUGGAAUUCCAUGUGUAGCGGUGAAAUGCGUAGAUAUAUGGAGGAACACCGGUGGCGAAAGCGGCUCUCUGGUCUGUAACUGACGCUGAGGCUCGAAAGCGUGGGGAGCAAACAGG